ACCUGGGGAGUACGUUCGCAAGAAUGAAACUCAAAGGAAUUGACGGGGGCCCGCACAAGCGGUGGAGCAUGUGGUUUAAUUCGAUGAUACGCGAGGAACCUUACCAGGGCUUAAAUGCAUAUUGACAGGUCUAGAGAUAGACUUUCCUUCGGGCAAUUUGCAAGGUGCUGCAUGGUUGUCGUCAGCUCGUGCCGUGAGGUGUCAGGUUAAGUCCUAUAACGAGCGCAACCCCUGCCGUUAGUUGCCAGCAUUUAAAGAUGGGGACUCUAACGGGACUGCCGGUGCAAACCGUGAGGAAGGUGGGGAUGACGUCAAAUCAUCACGGCCCUUACGUCCUGGGCCACACACGUGCUACAAUGGCCGGUACAGAGAGCAGCCACGAUGCAAGUCGGAGCGAAUCUACAAAACCGGUCACAGUUCGGAUCGGGGUCUGCAACUCGACCCCGUGAAGCUGGAAUCGCUAGUAAUCGGAUAUCAGCCAUGAUCCGGUGAAUACGUUCCCGGGCCUUGUACACACCGCCCGUCAAGCCAUGGAAGCCGGGAGUGCCUGAAGUCCGUCACCGUAAGGAGCGGCCUAGGGCAAGAUCGGUAACUAGGGCU
Molecule: ribosomal RNA, 600 nt
Filed under: uncultured bacterium
Lineage: Bacteria
Description: bacterial SSU rRNA
Rfam family: Bacterial small subunit ribosomal RNA
Source: RNAcentral